AUGAGAAAAGAUUGUCUGGGUCCAAAUACUUAGCAGGUGAAUGCUUCACCUUGGCAGAUCUGCAUCACCUUCCUAACAUUUUCUACUUGAUGAACUCACAGAGCAAGAAGCUGUUUGAAUCAAGGCCUCAUGUGAAUGCUUGGGUGGCUGAUAUCACAGCAAGACCAGCUUGGUCUAAGGUCCUAGCCAUGUUACCUCCUAAGCCGUGAAUACUGAACAGUGAGGAAGAACUUUCGGGAUUGAUGGUAUUGUUGGAUGUUCUCUGAGACCUCAAAGAUGGCAUUUAAGAAGUACUUUUGCUUUUGUGGGUUGUACCAUGAAUUUACUUGCUUUUGUUAAGUCUUAAUAAUGUAUUGUGUGUUAAGGGGACAGAAUUCUCUGUCCCGUUUGGUGUUUUUCCUCUCCUAUUAAUAAAAAUGUGCCAUGUUAUUUUAAAACCACAAAUAUAAGAUUUAUUGUCAUAUCGUUUACACGUCAAAUAAACAUAAAAGAUUAAUCUGGUGACUUUUAUGAGGUCUUCUUUGAGCUCUUUAAGCUCAACAGUCUACAAGCAAUAUGAUUGUGUGUCUUUAAGCUUGAAAAACACCAGCUUCUUUUUAUCUUCAAGCAUUCACCUAGAUUAAAAUGAUUUAGAUAGUGCUUGUAUUGUGUAGAGUUCAAGUUAAAAAACAACUCAAACUAUUUGGUGAUAACUUGAAGAAACAAUCCUUCUUUAAGCUCUGAUACAAAUGCAUGCCAAAGUUUGAAAAGUAAAUAAGAAAAUAAAAAAGUUGCGCAUCCAGGGAAUCGAACCCUGGUCAGUACCGUGGGAGGGUACUAUGAUACCACUACACCAGAUGCGCUGUUGUUUAAAUGAUUGAUCGUGAAAUUAUUUAUUUACUUGUUUAGAAAAAGGGUUUUAUCUAUAUAUGAUGUAGAAAGCUAAAGUAAUGAGACCUGUAAUUUGAUUCUUCCGAAACAUAAUCCAAGAAGACAUUUAAGCCAAACUUUGCAAGGGGGGUGUUAUCUAUAUAUAAUAUAGAAAGCUAAAGUAAUGAGACCUAGAUAAAGGAAAAUGUUGUGUUUUUUAUUCUUCUUUUGCAUUUUGGAUAUACAGUGUGGGCGCGAAUUUCUUGGUGGGGAUGAAGAUGGAAAGAAUAAGGAGAACAUUGAUGAUCAUUCAAGCAUAUUCAUGAUAUUUCUUUAUUUGAUGAAAUCCGAAAAUCUGAAAUUUGAUAUCUAAAGAAGUUUGUGAAUUUAAUUGGAUUUGGAAUUUGAUUGAAUCUGUCUGUAAAUCUUCUAAAUUAUUAUUUUUGUUUUAUUUUUAAUAAUAAGAGAAAAUAUAUUACACUUUUACCCUUUUAAAAUACAACGUGUGGUAAAAUUGGAGUCAGAAUAUUUUUUAUGUUAAUUUUAGAAUUGUUUUGCAUUAAUUUUUUAAACCACAAAAAAUAAUUUUAUAAUUAUAACUUAAAGUUUCAAUAACAUGUGAUGCACCGCCACCACCCUUCUCUAUCACCACCACUACGGCUACUUAUGUUGCCACCCUUUGUCAUUGUCACCACUGCUAACCUCCUAUAUCGUCGCCACCACCACCGACAUUACCACUACCACCAUUACCGCCAACACAACCAACCAUUGCCACAAUCACCACCACCACUACUACCUUUGGCAUCACCUUCUGUCACUACCAUCGCCACCAACCUUCACCAUCAAUGUCGUUGCCACCAUUGUUGUUGUCGCUUCCACCACCAACACUAACACUACCAUCUCACCAAAAACAACCACUGCCAUAGUUACGCCACUCCAUUGUCGUCUCACCAUAGUUGCCACAACCAUCAUCACCAAAUUCCACCAUUGUCGUCGCCAUCACUCUUCUGCCCUUGACCACCACCACCACCACAAUCAACCACCAUCAUGACGUUAGCCUGCACCACCAGCAACACUUAUUGUCACCACCAUUAGGUGACAUUCACCACCAUCACUGCCACAAGUAAUUUAUAAAACUGAAAAUUAGUUUUAGUUUGGAAAGGCAAAACUAAAACAAGCCCAAACAUAGGCUUAGGGUUAUGGGCUAAGUGAAAAAAAAAAACACUUUUAAACUUUUCCUUAGUUAAGCAUCUACGUAAUAUGCUUCCAAACGAGUUCUUAUUUAAGCAGCUAUGCUUUAUGAGCUUUUAGUAUAAAAAACAUUUUUUCUCUGAUCCAAAUUACUUUAUGAGUUUUGUUUUAUUGCUUUAUGAAGAUCAAGGUUAUUUGGAAGAGUUUCCCUUACACUGUGGACCAAUUCAGUAGGGAUUUUUGCAACAUAAAAAUACAUAAGCAAGAAACCAGACAUCGUGUUGUAGUGUGGUCACCUCCGAACAGGGGAACUCUCAAAUUUAAUGUUGACGGGGCCUCACAAGGUAACACGGGUCUGUGUAGAGUGGGGGGUGUUCUCAGGGAUUUCAGAAACCUCAUCCUUGACUUCUUUUCCAUCAAUAUGGGUUAUAGCUGGGCGUACGAAGCCGAGGUAAAAGCUAUCUUGAUAGCUUUGAUGUUUUGUCAACAACAUGGGUUCAAAGACAUAUUGAUAGAAAGUGACUCUACGCUGGUUGUGGGAUGGGUAUUGACUAAAACAAACCGUCCAUGGAAAAUUCUAAAUGAUCUGAAUCAUAUAGAUAUGUUGUUGUUAGAGGUUCAUUGCCUGGGGGUGCAUCAUGUCUACAGAGAAGCAAAUAGUUCCGCGGAUACUCUUGCGAAAUCUGGGGUAAAUAGAUCGACAAAUCUCUGGUGGUGCUCCAGUUAUGCUCGGUGAUCUUGCUGCGUUUGGUGUGCGCUUUCAUCUUCCUUUGGUGCUGCUUGCGGGUGCCUUGUUUUUAUUAGAUGUGCUUCUCAUUUUUCCCCUGCCUCUCUGUGUUUUUUAUGCGUUCUCUACUAGUCUUAGUUUCUUGUUUUAUGUUUGUUACUUUCUAUUUCUGUUAUUUGUCUUCUGUUACUUUGUUGACUUUCCUGCACAAUCUUUUUAAUAUAUAUAUAUAUAUAUAUAGUGUAGGGAUACCAAAUGAAUAAUGCUAAUAACUGGAAAUUAAGAACUUGUAGUUGGAGCGAAAUAUGCAAAAGUUGUUUAAGAGUUGCUUAAACAUAUGGAGCAGAACGGGCCAACAUGAAUAGUGUUUAAGAACUCACCUCUAAGAACUAGUUCUUACUUUUAGUUCUUAGAGCAUCUCCAACUAGUUGUUAAAGCAUCUCCAAUGCUAGUUCUUAGUUCUUAGCACUAUUCAUGUGGGCCUGUACUGCCACAUGUGCUUGAGCAACUAUUUGCAGAUUUUGCUCCAACCAUGGGUUCUUAGUUCUUAACACUAUUCAUCCGGUCUCACAAUACCAUUAUAUUAAUAUUUUUUAUUUCCAUAUAAUUUUAAUUUAAAUUUAAAUGUUUAUUCAAUACUUAAAUUAAAUGAAUGAGAGAAAAAAUAAUAAUUUUCUAUGCUAAGAAAUCAAAAAAGUAAAACAUUUUAUAUAAGAGCAUCUCCAAUGGGAGUGUCUCUUGUCUAAGACACUUGAAGAUGAGUAUCUCACCCCAUUAGAGCAAAUGAGAUCUCUAGGCUGUAAAAAAUUAGUGUCUACAACCAAACAUUAUGUCUCUUCAAAUUGUGCACAAAAAACAAAAAAGUUAUUAUUAUUAUACCGAAGUAAAAGUGUUUUGGUGUUGACUGUGGGGUCUACUAGAGAAACUUUUAAGAGUUGUUGGGUUGGAGUAAAAAAUUAAUAAAGUGGUUUAGAUGAUUUGACACUAUGGGGAAUUAUAAAAAGUAAUAUAAAAUAAAGUGUAGACACUUUAGUGAAUGUGAUAGAUAAAGAUACUCUUAGUUAUUAGUUCUUAGCACUAUUUAUGUGGGCCCGUACUGUCACAUGUGCUUAAGCAACUCUUUGCAAAGUUUGCUCUAACCUAGAUUGUUAGUUCUUAGCCCUAUUCAUCCGGUCUCACAAUACCAUUAUAUUAAUAUUUUUUAUUUCCAUAUAAUUUUGAUUUAAAUUUAAAUUCUUAGUCAAUACUUAAAUUAAAUUAAGGAGAUAAAAUAUUAAUUUUUAAUGCUAAGAAUUCAAAAAGUAAAACAUCUUAUAUAAGAACUAGUUCUUAUUUUUAAGAACUAAGAACUCCAUGUCAUCCCCUCAAGUGGUUAAGAACUCAGUUUUUAGUUCUUAACUAAAAAAUAAGAACUAAAAAUCUUGCAUUUAAGAUGCUCUUAGAACUCACCUUUUAGAACUUCACAUCAAUCAUCUUCAAUGCUUAAAAACAUAGUUUUUAGUUCUUAAUUUAAUUUAAUAACUCACGUUUAAAAACUAGCAAUGAGAUGCUCUAAGCAUCUACGUAAUAUGCUUUUGAAUUAUUUUAAGUUGAUGAUGUGAACACUUACUUUUAUUUUAAGAUGUGAACACUAUUUAAAUGGGCGAUUUUUCUGCCUGGUCAAAUGCCUCUCUGUCUUUGGAAAAAUCCAGAAAUAUAAUUUCCUCUUUAUAAGUGCCCUCAGAUCCAUCCUUCUAACCAUUCAUUCCUCUUCCAUUUUUUUACUCUGCACUGCACUAAACAAUCAUGUCAACAAUCAAAGUUCAUGGAAGCCCCAUCUCAAAUGCAACCAUGCGAGCCCUUGUUGCCCUGUAUGAGAAACAGCUUGAAUUUGAGUUUGUUCCCACUGACAUGCGCAACGGUGAACACAAAAAGGAACCCUUCCUUUCGCUCAAUGUAAGCAACCAUCAAUUCAUCACCAAAUAAAUCAUUUUUUCUUCAAUCCACCUUCAACUAAUUAAUUUCCAAUUUUAUCUUCCCCUGCAGCCUUUUGGUCAAGUUCCAGCGCUUGAAGAUGGAGAUUUGAAGCUCUUCGGUAAGAUUUGCAUAUAUAUAUAUAUAUAUAUAUAUAUCAUGCCAAACCUUUACAGACACAUUCAUACAAAGUACAAAAAGUUAAGGUACCAAAUUAAGACAUGAUUAAUAUAGUAUAAGAGUAUAUCCUAUAUCCGUCCGUUUGUUACUGGAGACCUGUUAGAAGUCCCACAUUGAUUAGAGGUAGAGCAUAGAUAGCCUUUAUAAGUGUAGUGCUGACCUUUAUAGAUGUCUAAGUCGAUAGUCAUUUAUAAGAUCUAACUCUAAGUAUGUAUGGUUAAGUCUUAACUAAGUCUGGUUAAUAACCCUAUAACACUAAUUCUGCAUCUUAUAUCAUCAUAUCUCAUUCCGUUCUGCAAUAAUAUUUGAGAAUCACCAUCAAUAUGGGUCGGAGAUACUCAUUUUUCUCGAGAGAGAAGGUGGCUGCUAUUGAAACAAAUAAAUUCAUUAUUGUCACAUGUAUUGGUACUAACAAUAACAUGUGCAUCUUUCAUCAAUUCUCCCCAGAGGCCACAAUUAUUGCUAGAAAAUAAACAUGUUUAUGACAAGAACACAUCUUAGCUAUAACCUAAUUUCUGAGUAGAGUUAAAGGCCUCUCUUGCAAUGUUUAUUUGAGUUUAUCUUAUAGCACAAACGCUUAUGUACGUGUUUGGAAAAUUUAUGUAAGUAGCGUAUCAUCUAGAUAUAAGUUGUUUUUAGUUUAUUUCCAUACCAUGUUGAAAUUCACUUAUGAGUGAGAGCUUAAACAUUUUUAUAAAUCGUCUUAUGUGAUUAGCUCUUAUUGCCAUAACUACUUAAUUAAAGCUUAUCUUUGAUCUACUUGCUGGACCACAUGUAAAUAUUUGGCCAACUUCACUGCCUAGUAAUGUGUGUUAAGAUUCUCAUUAACUAGAUAUAUGAUCCAAAUAGUCCAGUAGAACAGUUCUCUCCUGUAAAUUGAAAUAAGAGAUGCUGAAUGGAACACUGAGCUAACAAUUUGUUCUGCAGAAUCAAGGGCCAUAACAAAAUACAUAGCUUACGAGUAUGCUGAUAAGGGAACAGAGCUGCUAAGCAAAGACUCCAAGAAGAUGGCGGUAACCACGGUGUGGCUAGAAGUCGAGGCCCAUCAUUUCGAUCAUUGGGAUGACUACGGAUCCUGCAGUUGUGGAAGAGAAUGAAGCCAAGCUGGCUGGUGUUCUUGAUGUCUAUGAGAAAAGAUUGUCUGGGUCCAAAUACUUAGCAGCUGAAUGCUUCACCUUGGCAGAUCUGCAUCACAUUCCUAACAUUUUCUACUUGAUGAACACACAGAGCAAGAAGCUGUUUGAAUCAAGGCCUCAUGUGAAUGCUUGGGUGGCUGAUAUCACAGCAAGACCAGCUUGGUCUAAGGUCGUUGCCAUGUUACCUCCUAAGCCAUGAAUAGUGAGGAAGAAGGCCUUUCAGGAUUGAUGGUGUUGUUGGAUGUUCUCUGAGACCUCAAAGAUGGCCAUUUAAGUUCAAGAAGUACUUUUGCUUUUGUGGGUUGUACCAUGAAUGGACUUGUUUUUGUUAAGUCUUAUUUGGUGUUUUUCCUCUCCUAUGAAUAAAAAUGCGUGAUGUUAUUUUAAAACCACUAAUAUAAGAUUAAUUGUCAUAUCGUUUACAUGUAGAAUAAACAUAAAAGAUUAAUCUGAUGACUUUUAUGAGGUCUUCUUUGAGUUCUUUAAGCUCAACGAC
This 6532-nucleotide long non-coding RNA is filed under the name Lotus japonicus. Its description in RNAcentral is "long non-coding RNA (LJAP_LNC000952)". The record is from RNAcentral. Lineage: Eukaryota; Viridiplantae; Streptophyta; Magnoliopsida; Fabales; Fabaceae.